This 497-nucleotide ribosomal RNA is filed under the name uncultured bacterium. Its description in RNAcentral is "partial 16S ribosomal RNA". It matches the Rfam family "Bacterial small subunit ribosomal RNA", at positions 28 to 507 of the family's 1533-position model. The record is from RNAcentral.
GAUGAACGCUGGCGGCGUGCUUAACACAUGCAAGUCGAGCGAAAAGGCGCGGAUCUUGCUGGUUGCACGUGAGGGGCGGAUGGGUGAGUCACAUGAACGUACCCCCCCUUUAAGUCUGGGACGACUACGGGAAGCUGGAUAUAACAUCGGAGAAGAUUCUGAACCGGGGGGUUCGAUAGGGAAAGAUGGCUUUGCUGGCUCUACUAGAGGGUCCUCCGCUGGAUUAGUUAGUUGGUAGGGUAACGGCUUACCAAGGCGACCAUCCGUGGCCGACCUGAGAGGGUGAUCGGCCACACUGGAACUGAGACACGGUCCAGACUCCUACGGGAGGCAGCAGUAGGGAAUGUUCGGCAAUGGGGGCAACCCUGACCCAGCGACGCCGCGUGUGGGAUGAAGGCCUUCGGGUCGUAAACCUCUGUUGUUCGUGAAGAACACCUCUGGCCGAAGACGCCGGGGGCAUGACGGUACCGGAUCAAUAAGCACCGGCUAACUACGUG